UUGUUUCUUUGACAAAAAGUUUAACAAAUAGUGCUUGCUUCCGCAACAAUCCAGAGAAGGUUAGUAUGGUCCCUGCACAAGGAUGACAUGCAAACUUGUGAAGCGCCCCAUAUUUUU
Molecule: small nuclear RNA, 117 nt
Filed under: Castor canadensis (American beaver)
Lineage: Eukaryota; Metazoa; Chordata; Mammalia; Rodentia; Castoridae
Source: RNAcentral